ACACUCGUAGCUCAGUUAGCAGAGCAUUGGCUAAUAUCCCAAAAAUCGCGGGUUCGAUUCCCUGGACCAGCGUA
Molecule: transfer RNA, 74 nt
Filed under: Paramuricea clavata
Lineage: Eukaryota; Metazoa; Cnidaria; Anthozoa; Malacalcyonacea; Plexauridae
Source: RNAcentral